GAUGAACGCUAGCGGCAGGCCUAACGCAUGCAAGUCGAGGGAGAAGCCCUUUCGGGGGCAGAAACCGGCGCACGGGUGCGUAACGCGUAUGCAACCUACCUUUCACAGGGGGAUAGCCCGAAGAAAUUUGGAUUAAUACCCCAUAAUAUUAUUGGAUGGCAUCAUUUGAUAAUUAAGACUGCGGUGGUGAAAGAUGGGCAUGCGUCCUAUUAGCUAGUUGGAGUGGUAACGGCACCCCAAGGCUACGAUAGGUAGGGGUCCUGAGAGGGAGAUCCCCCACACUGGUACUGAGACAGGGACCAGACUCCUACGGGAGGCAGCAGUGAGGAAUAUUGGUCAAUGGUCGGAAGACUGAACCAGCCAUGCCGCGUGCAGGAAGAAUGCCUUAUGGGUUGUAAACUGCUUUUAUAUGGGAAGAAUAAAGGUGUACG
This 431-nucleotide ribosomal RNA is filed under the name Capnocytophaga gingivalis. RNAcentral describes it as "bacterial SSU rRNA". It matches the Rfam family "Bacterial small subunit ribosomal RNA", at positions 28 to 461 of the family's 1533-position model. The record is from RNAcentral. Lineage: Bacteria; Pseudomonadati; Bacteroidota; Flavobacteriia; Flavobacteriales; Flavobacteriaceae.